AGUGAACGCUGGCGGUAGGCCUAACACAUGCCAGUCGAACGGCAGCACAGUAAGAGCUUGCUCUUACGGGUGGCGAGUGGCGGACGGGUGAGGAAUACAUCGGAAUCUACUUUUUCGUGGGGGAUAACGUAGGGAAACUUACGCUAAUACCGCAUACGACCUACGGGUGAAAGCAGGGGAUCUUCGGACCUUGCGCGAUUGAAUGAGCCGAUGUCGGAUUAGCUAGUUGGCGGGGUAAAGGCCCACCAAGGCGACGAUCCGUAGCUGGUCUGAGAGGAUGAUCAGCCACACUGGAAUUGAGACACGGUCCAGACUCCUACGGGAGGCAGCAGUGGGGAAUAUUGGACAAUGGGCGCAAGCCUGAUCCAGCCAUACCGCGUGGGUGAAGAAGGCCUUCGGGUUGUAAAGCCCUUUUGUUGGGAAAGAAAAGCAGCAGGUUAAUACCCCGCUGUUCUGACGGUACCCAAAGAAUAAGCACCGGCUAACUUCGUG
RNAcentral lists this ribosomal RNA (492 nucleotides) under uncultured bacterium. Its description in RNAcentral is "partial 16S ribosomal RNA". It matches the Rfam family "Bacterial small subunit ribosomal RNA", at positions 29 to 507 of the family's 1533-position model. The record is from RNAcentral.